UACGUAGGGUGCAAGCGUUGUCCGGAAUUACUGGGCGUAAAGAGUUCGUAGGCGGUUUGUCGCGUCGUUUGUGAAAACCAGCAGCUCAACUGCUGGCUUGCAGGCGAUACGGGCAGACUUGAGUACUGCAGGGGAGACUGGAAUUCCUGGUGUAGCGGUGAAAUGCGCAGAUAUCGGGAGGAACACCAGUAGCGAAGGCGGCACUCUGGGCCGUGACUGACGCUGAGGAGCGAAAGCGUGGGUAGCAAACAGG
Molecule: ribosomal RNA, 253 nt
Filed under: uncultured bacterium
Lineage: Bacteria
Description: partial 16S ribosomal RNA
Rfam family: Bacterial small subunit ribosomal RNA
Source: RNAcentral